UAGAGUCUCCGCCUUGCGCUUCGGCGGGGUGCUAAGGCGUGGGUCCCUUCACCCGCCCUAUGAGAAAUAAAAGUUGUGUUGCUGCCGUGGUCCCGCGGUAGAGUCUCCGCCUUGCGCUUCGGCGGGGUGCUAAGGCGUGGGUUCGAGACCUAUCAGUUACCAUGGGGGUGGAAAGGUGGGCUCUCUCCGACACCCUCCGCCCCGUUGUUGGGCCUCCUUGAAAGAAUUGGGCAUCUCUCCACCAGCCGUCUGGGUGGUUGCGCGGCAUGCUGCGCCUUCCUCCAUUGGGGUAUAUCCCCAACUAAAUACCAAAAAAAAUAAAUAAAUAAAUAAAUAAAAUAAAAGUCGCCUCAGUAAAAAAACUACUAUAUAUUAACUCUCAAAUAAUUGCAGGUUUUCGGCUUUAAGUCGUCCACCGUGGGCAGUCCAACACCUGUAAGGUACGAAAUAAAAAUGGCAGUCAGUUAUAAUCGAACUGGUGAGCUCCAGGGAGAGGAUGUCUGCCACCGACUAAGUGCUGGUGAGUAGCUAAGUAUAUUUUUGGUGAGCAGCUUGAGCAUAAAUUAUGAGAUUAAUGGCGGCCACUAAGGUGAAAAAGCUACCAAGGCGAAACGUGGACACAACCUAGAGGCAUAUCUGGAUCAUAAAGGUGAAGCCAGACAAAUCACAUUGGUGGAACGUGGACACAUCCAGUCUAGAUUAAUAAAGCUAUGAACCAUUUAGUAUUAAAAUAUAAGCGUACUGUAUAGUCUUACGUUAUGGUCUAAAUUUAUUAAAAGAUGACAAAUUUAGCCUAAAGGACAAACACUAGCUACAUUUACUAGUAUUAAAGUUUAAGCUAGGAUCCUAAACUUAAUCUGUUUUAAUUUUCAACAAGAGACAAAGCCCAACAUUAAAGACAACGACAGAUGACAUUUACUAAACAUAUCACACGGAUGUUGGACCUUAACAAUCUAGUGACCCUUUCCAACAUGAAGGCAAGCCUCCAGCAGGACCUGUUCUGGCUUCAGACGACCCUCCCUCAACCUUCAUAUACUCUUGGUGUCCACCAUCACGCAAGUGUAUACCGACUUAAUACCUCCAUGGUACCGACAGACAAGGUGUGGGGGAUAUCGGCGACACAUCGACUUACCAGGAUUUCUACUGGCUCUUUUACGACAUACUUAAUGAGGUCAAAGGGUUUGCGCUUCCCUCCAAGAUGGUCACGGUGGAAUCCAUCCCGAUAGUACAGAUGCUCCUCCCCAUUGCCCCGCCACAGGAGUGAGAGGAACUGACCUGAACAUCGCCUUCCUGCCUUGCUGUAACGAAAGCCAUUGCUGCUGGCCCUGCUGGAGAAAGUCUACCUCCCCUUAAUUGCUGCUGGCCCUGCUGGAGAAAGUCUACCUCCCCUUAAUUGCUGCUGGCCCUGCUGGAGAAAGUCUACCUCCCCUUAAUUGCUGCUGGCCCUGCUGGAGAAAGUCUACCUCCCCUUAAUUGCUG
This is a long non-coding RNA of Eriocheir sinensis (Chinese mitten crab), 1479 nucleotides long. RefSeq lists it as uncharacterized. The record is from RefSeq and is a predicted model, not a curated record. NCBI's taxonomy places the organism in Eukaryota, Metazoa, Arthropoda, Malacostraca, Decapoda, Varunidae. The transcript has 3 exons.